CCCCCCCGCACCGCCCAGGGCUCCGGUUGACCUGCCCCUGCGGGAGUUGAAGAUGGCCCCCUCAACACCCCGACGAGGAAUACAGGCUCUCAGAAAGCAGCAGCUUGUCCGUAGAGGAGCCUCAUCUCCUGGAGAGGCCCCCGAUGUGGCUGGGCUUGUCCCAUGAGCAGGAGGGUGAGGGUCACUGAAUCCCGGCUGAGCCUGUCUUCUCUCGGAUGGCUAAAAAGAAGCCAGAAUCACUUCUCAUGGUAACACUCAAGAAACAGGCUCAGAGAGGUGGAUUGAUUUCCCCAAAGACUGCUCUUCCGCCCAGACCUUCAUUUUCCCUCCCCUCCCUACAGACACCCGGCCCAUGUGCAGUCUCUAGCUGUAUAAGCCCUGAGGGGUACUAAUAGGGGCUGGGUGGUCCCUCUUUGAAGAUGCUUUGCUGCCUGUCUUUGAAGGAUGCUUCUCUAACAUGAAUACCUUCUGGACAGGCGCCAGCCCACUGUACGGAUUGGUGAUUACAAGCCAGGGUGUGGGGUUGGACUGCACUGAGUUCAAAUCUAGUGUCCUUAUUUUGAGGUGAUUGAUCUUUCUAUACUUAAUUAACCUAACUGCAAAUAGGGGUGGUAAUAAUGCGAUAGACCCCAAAGGGACCCCCCAGGAGGAUCUUGCUCAAGGACGAUCUGUACAUACUUAAGGGCAGUGGAAUCCCAUGGCCACAGGAUUCAGGUUGACUUCUCAGCAAACUGACUGCCGUGUUGGGCUCACCAGACUUGUUCCUGCUGGAGGCUUCUCUGGCUCCACCAUUACUCAUCACAAAAACAAAUGACCCAAGACCUCAAGCAGGCUACCUGCUCAGCCAGGAGCUGUACUAUCACCCCUCAACCCCACAGGGGCGGAUAUGAGUGAUAGAACCCUUCCCCUUUUACAGAUGGGCAGACUGAGGCCAAGGAAGGCCAGACAACUUACUGCUAACGAGGUCAGGGCUGAUUCUUAAUGAUGGCUGGGUCCCAAAGCCAGGGCUGUGGGCUUCAGGAAUACAUAGUCCUUCCCUCUCUCACUCAGCCAGCAGUCCUAGACUUUUCCAGAAGGGCCACAGGCCUCCUGUACCAUUGACAGAACAGGGUGCCUGCUCUCAUGGCCAGGCUUAUGGAGCAGCUUCUGAAUUCAGGAGGGACUUGUAUGUGUUGGGGGGGUAUGGACCUCAGAGCACCAUUGUAGCUUGCAUGUGAAGGUGGAGAUCUAUAUGAGGAAGGCUUUCUCAGCCUGAAGUGUCCCAUUGGGUGCCUUGGGCACAGCACAUUUUUGUGUGAGCCAUGUUGGAACAUAAAAGAACCUUUCUGGGCAGCAUCUGGGGUCAGGUGGCCCUGGACACAGGAAGGUGGCCAGUGUGGGCACCAUCAGGGUCUCCUCAAACCAUCUGCAGCAGUGCCCCCCCCCAGGGCCUGGCAUGGGAGGAGUUAAGCCGCAGUGGGCACCUUGGCACGUAGCGCUGGCCAGAAUGUCCGGCUCCCCACCCCCACCGCUUUUCUUCCUUUUUGCCUUUUUCCUUCUUAAUUAAUCAUACGCUGCUGCCCAAUUUAAAUAUGGAAAUACCCAGGCUGAGGCUCUGCAAUUAUUCAUGAAGCCAGGCCUGCUGUCCAGGCUCUCGGGCUGCGGGGAGCAUCGUGGCUUCGCCUCCUUUCUGUGAAAUUAUGUGCACAAAGGCGGCUUCUUAUCUGGGUGUGUGAACUAAAUAAAUAAAUAAGGGCUUUUGUUUGUUUGCGGGCUCCUG
Molecule: long non-coding RNA, 1759 nt
Organism: Peromyscus californicus insignis
Lineage: Eukaryota; Metazoa; Chordata; Mammalia; Rodentia; Cricetidae
Exons: 2
Source: RefSeq, a predicted model, not a curated record